Molecule: ribosomal RNA, 497 nt
Filed under: uncultured bacterium
Lineage: Bacteria
Description: partial 16S ribosomal RNA
Rfam family: Bacterial small subunit ribosomal RNA
Source: RNAcentral
GAUGAACGCUGGCGGCGUGCCUAAUACAUGCCAGUCGAGCGAACGGACGAGAAGCUUGCUUCUCUGAUGUUAGCGGCGGACGGGUGAGUAACACGUGGAUAACCUACCUAUAAGACUGGGAUAACUUCGGGAAACCGGCGCUAAUCCCGGAUAAUAUUUUGAACCGCAUGGUUCAAAAGUGAAAGACGGUCUUGCUGUCACUUAUAGAUGGAUCCGCGCUGCAUUAGCUAGUUGGUAAGGUAACGGCUUACCAAGGCAACGAUGCAUAGCCGACCUGAGAGGGUGAUCGGCCACACUGGAACUGAGACACGGUCCAGACUCCUACGGGAGGCAGCAGUAGGGAAUCUUCCGCAAUGGGCGAAAGCCUGACGGAGCAACGCCGCGUGAGUGAUGAAGGUCUUCGGAUCGUAAAACUCUGUUAUUAGGGAAGAACAUAUGUGUAAGUAACUGUGCACAUCUUGACGGUACCUAAUCAGAAAGCCACGGCUAACUACGUG